GGGGCCGUAGUCUAGCCUGGAAGGAUAGCCGAUAAAAGGCUCCCUUAAGCCAGCCUGGGGCGCUGGUGGUCCCGGGUUCAAAUCCCGGCGGCCCCACCA
RNAcentral lists this transfer RNA (99 nucleotides) under Thermoprotei archaeon. Its description in RNAcentral is "tRNA-Pro". It matches the Rfam family "tRNA". From Rfam's summary of the family: Transfer RNA (tRNA) molecules are approximately 80 nucleotides in length. Their secondary structure includes four short double-helical elements and three loops (D, anti-codon, and T loops). Lineage: Archaea; Thermoproteati; Thermoproteota; Thermoprotei. The record is from RNAcentral.